GAGGGUAGAGCUCAGUGGUAGAGCGCGUGCUUAGCACGCAUGAGUCCUGGGUUCAAUCCCCAGGACCUCCG
RNAcentral lists this transfer RNA (71 nucleotides) under Camelus ferus (Wild Bactrian camel). It matches the Rfam family "tRNA". Rfam says of the family: Transfer RNA (tRNA) molecules are approximately 80 nucleotides in length. Their secondary structure includes four short double-helical elements and three loops (D, anti-codon, and T loops). Further hydrogen bonds mediate the characteristic L-shaped molecular structure. tRNAs have two regions of fundamental functional importance: the anti-codon, which is responsible for specific mRNA codon recognition, and the 3' end, to which the tRNAs corresponding amino acid is attached (by aminoacyl-tRNA synthetases). tRNAs cope with the degeneracy of the genetic code in two manners: having more than one tRNA (with a specific anti-codon) for a particular amino acid; and 'wobble' base-pairing, i.e. permitting non-standard base-pairing at the 3rd anti-codon position. The record is from Rfam by way of RNAcentral. Lineage: Eukaryota; Metazoa; Chordata; Mammalia; Artiodactyla; Camelidae.